UACGUAGGGUGCAAGCGUUAAUCGGAAUUACUGGGCGUAAAGCGUGCGCAGGCGGUUUUGUAAGUCUGACGUGAAAUCCCCGGGCUCAACCUGGGAACUGCGUUGGAGACUGCAAGGCUAGAAUCUGGCAGAGGGGGGUAGAAUUCCACGUGUAGCAGUGAAAUGCGUAGAGAUGUGGAGGAACACCGAUGGCGAAGGCAGCCCCCUGGGUCAAGAUUGACGCUCAUGCACGAAAGCGUGGGGAGCAAACAGG
RNAcentral lists this ribosomal RNA (253 nucleotides) under uncultured bacterium. Its description in RNAcentral is "partial 16S ribosomal RNA". It matches the Rfam family "Bacterial small subunit ribosomal RNA", at positions 524 to 776 of the family's 1533-position model. The record is from RNAcentral.